GAUGAACGCUAGCUACAGGCUUAACACAUGCAAGUCGAGGGGAAACGAUAUUGGAAGCUUGCUUCCGAUAGGCGUCGACCGGCGCACGGGUGAGUAACGCGUAUCCAACCUGCCCAUCACUUGGGGAUAACCUUGCGAAAGUAAGACUAAUACCCAAUGACGUCUCUAGAAGACAUCUGAAAGAGAUUAAAGAUUUAUCGGUGAUGGAUGGGGAUGCGUCUGAUUAGCUUGUUGGCGGGGUAACGGCCCACCAAGGCGACGAUCAGUAGGGGUUCUGAGAGGAACGUCCCCCACAUUGGAACUGAGACACGGUCCAAACUCCUACGGGAGGCAGCAGUGAGGAAUAUUGGUCAAUGGGCGAGAGCCUGAACCAGCCAAGUAGCGUGCAGGAUGACGGCCCUAUGGGUUGUAAACUGCUUUUAUAAGGGAAUAAAGUGAGCCACGUGUGGCUUUUUGCAUGUACCUUAUGGAUAAGGACCGGCUAAUUCCGUGCCAGCCGCCGCAGUAA
RNAcentral lists this ribosomal RNA (508 nucleotides) under uncultured bacterium. RNAcentral's name for it is "partial 16S ribosomal RNA". It matches the Rfam family "Bacterial small subunit ribosomal RNA", at positions 28 to 523 of the family's 1533-position model. The record is from RNAcentral.